Molecule: ribosomal RNA, 432 nt
Filed under: uncultured bacterium
Lineage: Bacteria
Description: partial 16S ribosomal RNA
Rfam family: Bacterial small subunit ribosomal RNA
Source: RNAcentral
AACGAACGCUGGCGGCAUGCCUAACACAUGCAAGUCGAACGAGACCUUCGGGUCUAGUGGCGCACGGGUGCGUAACGCGUGGGAACCUGCCCUUAGGUUCGGAAUAACUCCCCGAAAGGGGUGCUAAUACCGGAUAAUGUCUUCGGACCAAAGAUUUAUCGCCUUUGGAUGGGCCCGCGUUGGAUUAGCUAGUUGGUAGGGUAAAAGCCUACCAAGGCGACGAUCCGUAGCUGGUCUGAGAGGAUGAUCAGCCACACUGGGACUGAGACACGGCCCAGACUCCUACGGGAGGCAGCAGUGGGGAAUAUUGGACAAUGGGCGAAGCCUGAUCCAGCAAUGCCGCGUGAGUGAUGAAGGCCUUAGGGUUGUAAAGCUCUUUUACCCGGGAUGAUAAUGACAGUACCGGGAGAAUAAGCUCCGGCUAACUCCGUG